Molecule: long non-coding RNA, 2374 nt
Organism: Neopsephotus bourkii (Bourke's parrot)
Lineage: Eukaryota; Metazoa; Chordata; Aves; Psittaciformes; Psittacidae
Exons: 3
Source: RefSeq, a predicted model, not a curated record
CUCUUUCCUCACAACAGGAGCAGAGUUUGUUCUGCACUUCCAAGAACCACCUGUUCCCAGAUUCUGCACAAAAAGGUUAGAAGCCCAGCAAGAGACAUCAAAGGUAAUUUCUGCUGAUUGAUCUCCAUUGGUAUCUGCAGGCAUCUAGUGAAACACAGGAGGAUAAUCAGAAUUCAUGUUCAACAGCCCAUCAAACAUGCUUUGAGCUCUCCUCAGACCCAACUGCCAAACACGUUACUGAAAGAGUGCCAAAAUAAAGAUGUAUUUGGCAUAAGGAAAGAAAAUACUGCCCAGUUGUGUAAGUACCUCUUUCUGAAGGCUGCAGCAUGUCUUAGAAAAGACUAAUUGCAGAUGGAAUUUGCACAGGCACUGUUCAACUUGUCAGCCAUGGCCCAUGCCAUCUAUACAAUACACACCUCACACCAGCACAGCAAAUGAAAGACACAGUAUAUUGAGGGUGUAUUGAUGCAAGUCAAUUCCCUAAACCAUGAAGACAAUUGGAUAGGUGAAAAUAAGAGUAUUUUCCAAUUGCUGCCUGAGAUCCAUCCAUCACAGGAACAAAAUCCCACUUUAGCUACACCUGGAAACUUAAUAUAAAUAACGAUGUGCCAGUAGGUAAGCAGGAAGUUAGUAAGUAAGGUUUAAUAAUUCUACACUGUAUCCUGGCCUCAGUCUCAAUCAUUUGUCCAUAAAGAUAGACUGGUUAGAACUAGCACAGCUAACCAGCACGCAUACACUUUACUCUCCCUCAGAGCAGACCUCAGACUGCCUUGAGAAGUAACAGAUGGAAUUUUACUUUCACUUUGACAAAGCUUCAGCAAGGCACAAAAUUGAUUUAGAAGCACUUUAAUAUGCUGCUCCAGCGCCAUGUCUACACAAUCUAUAUAACCAGCCUCCUAUCUGACUGCAUUCUCUAGAACGUGCAAAGACAUAAGCUCUUCAAAUUAUCACUGUGACAGGCCAGAUUUCCUAUUAUUUACAGAUACCUAUUUCACAUAAUUUUUCAAAGACACAAGCAUACGCAAUAUAAACUAAAUAUAAAUAUAAUAGACAUGAAACAGUGACUCUUCCCGUAUACAGGGGAAAUGUGUAAUGAAAACAGGUUUUUAGGAGGCAAGGCUUCUUCUCCUGUCAACAGGCACAGGCCUGAGCAAGCCACAAGAGGGAGCACAAACACUGUUUGAAAAUGCAACAAAGAGGAGGUAGAAGAGCCAGCUCCAGGCAGCGUUUGAUGCCAAAUCUGUUGGUAAUAACCUGCAUUCUAAUUUGUACUGAAAAUCAAUUUAAUUUCCUCUCCAGCUUUAAUGCGUUACAAGUAAUUCUUCAAUACUAAUCUGGUAAGGAGAGAGAGAAAGAGAAAAAGUCAUUCAUAAUGUUUGGCUUCCACUCUGAGCCAGGCCAGAGCAGCAGGGAAAGCGGCCUUGGGUGUCAGACAAGUGGGACAAGGCGGAACCGCUUGCCUUCAGCAAAAGAAAGGGAGAUCAGCUGUGCUCUUCUCCCUCCUAAUCCUUGCUCUAGCUGCCACCGAGGGAGGGACUUGAGCAUGUGCAAGUAGCAGUCCAACUCAAAAGGGGCACCUACUGCCAACCUUUAACAGCAGCAGGAACUGGCAUCCCCACCCUCUGGGACUGAUCCAGCCUCACCCCCCUCCUCCUCUUUUCCUUUGUGAUAGACAAAAAAUAAGGCUUCUUAACUGCAGUGAAAUAGACUGUCAAAAGAAAUACCUGAUAAGAGAUAUUUCAAAACUGUGAUGUUUAUAUGUGGGUCAAACAUGAGAUUGUGAAAUCUUCUACCAUCAUAGUCAGAUUUUUCUCAUCUCUUACCUCUGAAUAUCAUUCAGUGAAAUUCCAUUCUGGAGCUGAAGGUUGUUUAUAUAAGCCAAGGAUAAAUGUAGUCCUAAAGGCUGUUCUUUCUGGAUGGCUUAGCACAAUAUAGUGCUCAAAUAUCCAUUUCACUUAGCUGUUGCAGUAUUCUAGCACGAAAUAGCAGCAGGAUACCACUAUUACGUAAAGGACAGGAGCACAAAGGAUAAUGCAUGUGACUACUGAUCUGCUGACUGAUGUAAUCAUUGUGAUAAAAGAUGAUGUGUAAGUAGUUUAAGACUUGAUUCUUGUAUAAAGUCAGAUAUAUGGAGCAUAAAACUAGAUGCUUCUGGAAGCUGAAAAAGGAGGAAGGUCACAAGGCUGUGGAGCAGACCUAAACUCACAUCACACAGUUCCUUGCCUCCAUAGGACCCAGGGCAGCAGCAAACUGCACUGGCAGGUCAAUGGACACAGCUUCAGGAUUCAUGACUGCCCCAUAACACAGGGUGAGAAGGGAUCCUUCCCCAGCAUGAAAGGGAUGUGGAAACACCUCACAAUAGAGUCUGGGAUCA